Molecule: non-coding RNA, 46 nt
Filed under: Trichobilharzia regenti
Lineage: Eukaryota; Metazoa; Platyhelminthes; Trematoda; Strigeidida; Schistosomatidae
Source: RNAcentral
GUACUGAUGAAGAGUCCCAAACUAAGACGAAACUGCUGUCCAGUAC